This is a long non-coding RNA of Vulpes vulpes (red fox), 1748 nucleotides long. NCBI's taxonomy places the organism in Eukaryota, Metazoa, Chordata, Mammalia, Carnivora, Canidae. The record is from Ensembl.
GGAUCUAAUGACGUGUGUUAUGUGUCUUGUCAUCCUCAUUUUCCAACUUUCUUAUUUAGUGUAUUUUACAGAACUCUCGGGCCAUGAUGAACUGAAAACAAGAAACAAAACUGGCCCUGGACCGCAGCGAGUCUGGAAGCAAGCAGGUGUCAGAGGCACAGCGUCCCCGGGGCGUGACUGGGCCUGGAGCCAAGUGCCCACCGCAGGACCCAUCCCGUGGACGUGAGCUGACCCGGUGCUCAUCUGCAUCCUCAAGGUUCCAGGAAGUCCGGCAACAGAGAAGUGUGCCCCGUUCAGCUCAUGUGACCCUUCCCCCCAUGUCCCUGACGUUCAGGUGUGUUCCUGAGGCCUCUGUGUGGGUUACGAUGACUUACACCACCAGGCAGGCCUUGGCAAACGCCGACAUGGCAUUUGGGGGGAGGCUCCUUUUUUUAAAAAGUUGAAUUCUUGUUCAUCUGCAAGCCGUCUUUGCCAGAAUGGGGUUUGGUUUCACCCUGCGGGACUGGGAGGAGGGGUGGAGGGGGGUGUGCCAAGAGGAGACUGGGGAUCAGAGAUUCUUUUUUUUUUUAAUGAUUUAUUUAUUUAUUCAUGAGAGACACACAGAGAGAGAGGCAGAGACACAGGCAGAGGGAGAAGCAGGGUCCAUGCAGGGAGUCCGAUGAGGGACUCGAUCCUAGGACCCCGGGAUCACAACCUGAGCAGAAGGCGGCCGUCCCACUGCUGAGCCACCCAGGCGCCCCAGGAUCAGAGAGUCUAAGUACACUGGGGACCCAUCCGUCAGGCCCAUGGAGUCAUUGAAGAAAUGCAGAGGCUCCACACCUCAGGCUCUUCCUCUCCAUGUCAGUCGGUGCAUCUCCCUGCUGGACCACAGGCUUCUGGGCUGGAGGCUGGGAGAGGGGACGGCAGUGGGGUCCUCUUCUCCGUCCCCCACCCCGCCCCCCAGCCUGAGAACAGAGCCCCCCGCAGUAGGACCACAUCGCUGGGUGAAUGCAGCCAGAGGAAGCACGAGCCUCGGAGCAGCUGGAUCAACCUCACGCCUCGGUGAUGCAGAUCACCUGCCACGGCGGACACCCAGCCCUUGAGCGUCCCCUUUGUCAUUAACGAGUGUCACCAACUCACAUUUGUGCCGAAAUCCUUUUAGGUGCCACACGUGCUAUAUCCUUGUAAAUUCUGGGUGUCGGAAACCCCCUUUCCCCCCGACCUCACCCACGGACCUGUGACAACCUCAGCUACAUGAUGGGCUGAUGUCCCACUUUGUGUCACCGGAGGCCCUGAGAUCAGGCCACCUCCUUCACGCAGCCCUCCACAGCGCCCUUGGCCUCACACCCUCAGCAUUUUAUUUGCAUAGUGUGGGCACGGUCAUCCCCCCACCAGGACAGGCUGGUGGCCCCGGAUCCUUCUCGCACAGAGCAAAUGGACUAAAUUAAGCAUGCAUCAAUGAAAUUAUCUGCUUCCCCUGAACCUAGGUGACCUCUGAGCGGGGACACAUUCCUCACAGCUGCCCAGAAGCAGCCGGAGUGUUGACAACCAACAGGAGGAUGUGGCCAGGCCCGCUGUGGGCAGGCGGUUCUCAGGUCCUGUCAGGAGUCAGCGGCGAGGCGCUGGCCUGCUCCCCUUCCCGCCUGGCCGGCCUCCCUGGGAAGGGUCCCACCUCCUGCAGGGUGCCGGCCCCUCUGGGCCCUCGGCCCCUGCCUGGGGCAGCCCUUCCCUCCCUCGGCCCGGCGCCCCUGCAUCCCAGUCCUGCCUUC